AUACGGAGGGUGCAAGCGUUAAUCGGAAUUACUGGGCGUAAAGCGCACGCAGGCGGUUUGUUAAGUCAGAUGUGAAAUCCCCGGGCUCAACCUGGGAACUGCAUCUGAUACUGGCAAGCUUGAGUCUCGUAGAGGGGGGUAGAAUUCCAGGUGUAGCGGGGAAAUGCGUAGAGAUCUGGAGGAAUACCGGUGGGGAAGGCGGCCCCUUGGACGAAGCCGGACGUCCGGUUCCGAAAGCGGGGGGAGCAAACAGGAUUAGACCCCCUGGUAGCCCACGCCGUAAACGAUGUCGACUUGGAGGUUGUGCCCUUGAGGCGUGGCUUCCGGAGCUAACGCGUUAAGUCGACCGCCUGGGGAGUACGGCCGCAAGGUUAAAACUCAAAUGAAUUGACGGGG
Molecule: ribosomal RNA, 396 nt
Filed under: uncultured bacterium
Lineage: Bacteria
Description: partial 16S ribosomal RNA
Rfam family: Bacterial small subunit ribosomal RNA
Source: RNAcentral